This 408-nucleotide ribosomal RNA is filed under the name uncultured bacterium. Its description in RNAcentral is "partial 16S ribosomal RNA". It matches the Rfam family "Bacterial small subunit ribosomal RNA", at positions 28 to 526 of the family's 1533-position model. The record is from RNAcentral.
GACGAACGCUGGCGGCGUGCUUAACACAUGCAAGUCGAACGAAGUGGCGAACGGGUGAGUAACGCGUAACCAACCUGCCCUUAAGAGGCGGACAACAGUUGGAAACGACUGCUAAUACCGCAUACUGAAGGUGGGGCUUGCGUCUGAUUAGCUAGGUGGAGGGGUAACGGCCUACCAAGGCGAUGAUCAGUAGCCGGUCGGAGAGGAUGAACGGCCACAUUGGGACUGAGACAAUGCCCAGACACCUACGGGAGGCAGCAGUGGGGAAUCUUCCGCAAUGGACGAAAGUCUGACGGAGCAACGCCGCGUGAGUGAUGACGGCCUUCGGGUUGUAAAGCUCUGUUAAUCGGGACGCGGUACCGGAAUAGAAAGCCACGGCUAACUUCGUGCCAGCAGCCGCGGUAAUAC